This 837-nucleotide long non-coding RNA is filed under the name Mus musculus (house mouse). Its description in RNAcentral is "long non-coding RNA chr6:17340486-17341323". The record is from RNAcentral. Lineage: Eukaryota; Metazoa; Chordata; Mammalia; Rodentia; Muridae.
AACAUUGUACUUCCUUUUCAGCUGAUGAGUGAACCUCCAGGGAGGGGUGUCAAAAAGGAGGCUGCUAAACCGAGACUGCCAAGCCUGUUGUAAACAUGACCCCUUUUAUGCAAAGCCCUUGCAAUAGUCUGCAAUGCUGUGAAGCUCGACCUUUCCCCCUGCAAGGAACCUUUGACCUAAUCCAACCAUCAUUUUGUUCAGAAAGGUGGGGGAAGGGUGGUAACAAAAGCUUGAGGUAAUGUUCUUGCUGUAAUAAAUUCAAGUUUUUCUGAACCCAAACUGAGGAAUUUCACCUGUGUACCUGAGUCUCCAGAAAGCUGCCUGCCUGGGACACCCAAAAGCCUUUUACUUCCCAGCUCACAUUACAGCUCUGCCCUUGGGGAUAUUUUUAAAAUUCCAGAUAGGCUUUCAUUUUCACUUUCAUACAUGUAUUGGAACCCUGCUUGACUUGUUUUCUCCUUCAGUCUUGCCGACACUUUACCAACCUGCUACCUACUUUGAUUGUUUGCAUUUAAAACAGACACUGGCAUGGCCACAGUUUGAAUUUUAAACUGUGCACAUAACUGAAAGUGUACUAGACUGUAUACCUUUUUACAUGUAGAGAUAUUCUUUAUCUUUAUAUAAGGAGAAUCACUUGGGAAAUGAUUCUACAAUUCAGUCUGUAAACUGUGUGUUCCAAGACAUGUCUGUUCUCCCUAGAUACUCAGUUUUAUACAAGUCAAUUGCUGAUCCAAAAGGUUACUGAAAUUUUAUAUGCUUACUGAUAUAUUUUACACUUUUUUAUGCUGCAUGUCCUAUAAAGAUUUCAAAUCUGCACAAUAAAAUUGUUUAACAGUU